CCUACGGGUGGCUGCAGUUUCGAAUCAUUCACAAUGGGCGAAAGCCUGAUGGUGCGACGCCGCGUGAGGGAUGAAGGUCUUCGGAUUGUAAACCUCUGUCACUGGGGAGAAAACGCUUUGAGUUAAUAGUUCAAAGCCUGAUUUAACCCGGAGAGGAAGCAGUGGCUAACUCUGUGCCAGCAGCCGCGGUAAUACAGAGACGGCAAGCGUUGGCCGGAUUCACUGGGCGUAAAGGGUGCGCGUGAGGUGGGAAAUCCCGAGGCUUAACCGCGGAACUGCGUCUGAAACUACUCGACUAGAGUACUGGAGAGGGAAACGGAAUUCACGGUGUAGCAGUGAAAUGCGUAGAUAUCGUGAGGAACACCAGAGGCGAAGGCGGUUUCCUGGACAGUUACUGACGCUCAGGCACGAAAGCAUGGGGAGCAAAAGGGAUUAGAUACCCGUGUAGUC
RNAcentral lists this ribosomal RNA (450 nucleotides) under uncultured bacterium. Its description in RNAcentral is "partial 16S ribosomal RNA". It matches the Rfam family "Bacterial small subunit ribosomal RNA", at positions 338 to 795 of the family's 1533-position model. The record is from RNAcentral.